Molecule: non-coding RNA, 619 nt
Organism: Physcomitrium patens
Lineage: Eukaryota; Viridiplantae; Streptophyta; Bryopsida; Funariales; Funariaceae
Source: RefSeq, a predicted model, not a curated record
UGCGCGACUUGAAUCCGUGUGGCUCCCUGGAGCAACUGCCUAACAACAACAGCACCCUGAGAAAGUGCCCCAACAAGCUCCAAACUCGUGUGGCCGCCGCAGGGCAUUCAUUCAUUCUUCCACUGUAUCAGUCACGCGUGUGGCUCUCGUCAUGAAUCUCAUCUUCUGCAUAUCACCCACCUACUGCACCUUUCGCCGCAAACUCGACACCAUCACAUACUCUCACAGAGAGAGCGAACAUACUAAUUUCGACGAGUCUCGCAUCAGUGGUUGUUGGGUUUGACCAGGUUUUGAGUGGCUUUGAUGGCUUCGACUGGACAACGAAGUCGAGGUUUACCGACACAUGCUUCGGCGACGCUAACACUCGGCGAGUGUUUUCGAAUAUCAACUAGGACCUCAAUAGAAUGUUUGGAUAAUGAGUUUUUAGAUUUCAGUUCGACAGAAUUGUGGACCAAAUUGUGAUAGCGUUGACAAGGGUUUAGAGUUUGCAGAGAAGAUGUGGUGGCUGAAUCUCAUCCUUCAUUUUCAUGUGAAAAAAUUGACCCUGUGUCUUGCAACACCCCACGUGUAAGAUACGAAUGUCCUGGUAAAAAAUGAUGAAACAUGUGACAAUAUGAAA